CCCCCCUUUACCGCAUUAGGAAAGUCUCUGGGGACGACGAGACCCUCAAAUCCGGAUGCCUCCUGGUCGAUUACCCAUGCAAAUUUGUUAUUUUCUAGCUUCUAUGUCAAUUUAGGGAAUUAACAUUUUUCUGAGAGAGGCUACAUCCCCCACCAUUACAUGGAUUGCAUUUUGCAAAAAGGAACCACUAGCAUUGCAAUGAUGCUAAGAUUGUGCAACUUCAUCCUUUACAAUAAAAUUGCGGAAAUCGUGAAAAACUAUGAAAUUUAGAUGGUAAUUUUUGCCUUAAAUUUACAGUUUUUAGCGAGUAAAACAGAAACUAUUAAUGGAUAAUCGGGUUUUUCCUCCAAGACAAAAGAAGUUGCACAAUCUUAGCAACAUUGCAAUGCCAGUGGUUCCUUUUGCAAAAUGCAAUCCACAUAAGGGUUAGUAUUUCGGACACAGAUGGGCCGAUUUUGGAGUUGUUGGUGUCGAUUCAGGUAAAUAUUUUCUGCACUUUCCGGUUGAAUAAUUUCAAAAUGUUGAUGUAAACCCUACAUUUUGAAAUGGGAAACCCCUUUUGAUUUGGAAUUUUACAAUAAUUUUAAUUUUCUUGCAGCCCCCAUUGAUUAUCUGUACUUUGUCUCUCACCAAAGUUUUCAAGCUAUACCAUUCAUUUAUUUAUUUUUUCACAGGAAUGGAUUUGUGAGGUACAAAGUAGCCAGGACCACUCUCUUGAACAUCAUCAGCCAAUUAGAGGGUCUUAUCAUCCGGCCUGUAGAGAAGUGCAAUGAUGCCAGAGCAAAUGUCAAGCGUCUGAUGACUUUCACAGGGAAACAAGCAAAAUUAUAAUGGCAGAUUGUUAGAAUGUAGCAAACGUAUUAUUGGAGUGCAUAAUGAAGUGUUAAUUUGUUGUAACUGAUAACCAUCUAAGUAUCCUACAAAAUAAUGAAGAAAAGAUAAUAGAAGUAGUUGUGAAACCCAUGUAGGAUGUUUACAAGGAUCCUGUAGCUCCACACAGCUCCUCGAGUGUCCAUAAGAUACCAUACAGGAGCGGAAAUAAAAGUGUUGAGUGGGGGAUGGGUGUUAAUAAUUUUACUUCAUAAGCAUAAGAAUUGCUUCACGUUAUGAAAGAUUGGUUUAAUCUAAGUUUCUUAAUUAAAUCAACUUCCAAACAAGGAAAUUGCCAAAGACAUUGAAUAGAGUAGACCGUGCGCUGUGAAAUCGAGCGGUGGCCACUUCUCUUCCAUUCGCAUGGCGCACCGACCGCUGAGUGCGGGAACGCCAUAGAUGAAAGAAACUUAAUAAGAAUAAAAUCAACAUAAAUACGAUGUACGAAUGUCAAUAAUUUAUUCAACUAUCUGUCUACUUUUGAUGAGGAAAACAAAAUGUAUCCAUUAGAAUCCUCACCUUUCUUGCAGCAUUGUCAGCCAUUUUUAGCAGACACCAAUUUUGUAAGUGUAUGUUAUUAGAUUUUGAUACCACUGAGGGCUAAUUAUUAGCUCAGCCCUAUCCAUUCCACCCAUUGUCUAUCCGCAUCCUAUUGCAGUUUUUGACAGAACACGAGAAUUAUUAUCUGUCAAGGGGAAGUGUUAGUUAUUGUGCCAGAUCAUAAUUUUUUCUGUAUAAAUUUACCUAAGUUGGCACUAAUGUAAAUUUAACUCUCCUCAACGGGCAUCACUGUUUUGCUCGCACCUGAUUGGUUGGUGCCCAACCUUCUUAUUUUUCCCCUCUCUUUCCCUCCCUCACUGUUGAGAUAGUCCAAGAUGGAGUCCUUUUGUAUCGUUUUUCUUCAUGUUCGUCAUUCGUAUUGAAUUCCGAAUAAAGCUGUGAAACUCUCAAAGAAAAAUGUCUUUUUUCUCAAGCUCUGCUAAUAAAAUCCUUCUCUUAGAUCAAGAUGGACGAUAGCUCUAAGUAACUCUCUCGUAACUUUUAUGAGUAUGCCUUUUUAUGUACAACUAGCAGCCAACCCGCGAUUCGCGCGGCACUAUUGCAGCAAAUAAAUUAGUAUACCUCAUAUUAGAUGCUUACAACUUUAAUUUACGAAUCAUAUUUUAUCUUUCAAGUAAUUAAUUGUAAGCAUUGAUAAUUCUAAGUAAAUAAAGCAAGCAUUACUUUUC
Molecule: long non-coding RNA, 2099 nt
Filed under: Bemisia tabaci
Lineage: Eukaryota; Metazoa; Arthropoda; Insecta; Hemiptera; Aleyrodidae
Description: lncRNA ENSSWEETPG001448
Source: RNAcentral